UACAGAGGGUGCAAGCGUUAAUCGGAAUUACUGGGCGUAAAGGGCGCGUAGGUGGUUAAUUAAGUCAGAUGUGAAAUCCCCGGGCUUAACCUGGGAAUUGCAUUUGAAACUGAUUGGCUAGAGUACGGGAGAGGGAAGUGGAAUUUCCGGUGUAGCGGUGAAAUGCGUAGAUAUCGGAAGGAACACCAGUGGCGAAGGCGACUUCCUGGCCCGUUACUGACACUGAGGCGCGAAAGCGUGGGGAGCGAACAGG
RNAcentral lists this ribosomal RNA (253 nucleotides) under uncultured bacterium. Its description in RNAcentral is "partial 16S ribosomal RNA". It matches the Rfam family "Bacterial small subunit ribosomal RNA", at positions 524 to 776 of the family's 1533-position model. The record is from RNAcentral.